Molecule: ribosomal RNA, 467 nt
Filed under: uncultured bacterium
Lineage: Bacteria
Description: bacterial SSU rRNA
Rfam family: Bacterial small subunit ribosomal RNA
Source: RNAcentral
UGGGGAAUAUUGGACAAUGGGCGCAAGCCUGAUCCAGCCAUGCCGCGUGAAGGAUGAAGGGGCUCUGCCUUGUAAACUUCUUUUGAAUGGGACGAAAAAGCCUCACUUGUGAGGAACUGACGGUACCAUUAGAAUAAGCACCGGCUAACUCCGUGCCAGCAGCCGCGGUAAUACGGAGGGUGCGAGCGUUAUCCGGAAUCACUGGGUUUAAAGGGUGCGUAGGCGGCUGUAUAAGUCAGUGGUGAAAGGCUGUGGCUUAACCAUGGGAUUGCCAUUGAUACUGUACGGCUUGAAUUAGGAUGAGGUUGGCGGAAUGUGACAUGUAGCGGUGAAAUGCUUAGAUAUGUCAUGGAACAUCGAUUGCGAAGGCAGCUGACUGGACCUUAAUUGACGCUGAGGCACGAAAGCGUGGGGAGCGAACAGGAUUAGAUACCCUCGUAGUCCCUGAGCGGGCUGGCAAGGCGCAU